This 64-nucleotide transfer RNA is filed under the name Trichogramma ostriniae. RNAcentral's name for it is "tRNA-Ala". Lineage: Eukaryota; Metazoa; Arthropoda; Insecta; Hymenoptera; Trichogrammatidae. The record is from RNAcentral.
AGGAAUGUAGUUAAAUAUAUAAUAUUUAUUUUGCUAAUAAAAGUUAUUUUAAAGAUUAUUCUUA